Long non-coding RNA from Centruroides sculpturatus (bark scorpion), 2107 nucleotides. RefSeq lists it as uncharacterized. The record is from RefSeq and is a predicted model, not a curated record. The transcript is spliced from 3 exons. NCBI's taxonomy places the organism in Eukaryota, Metazoa, Arthropoda, Arachnida, Scorpiones, Buthidae.
UUAACCAAUGAUGGGGUGUUUUAACGGUUACGUUAAAAUUCACGUGACGUUUUUAGGGAGGAAGCGGAAGAACGUGACUCUUAAACACUUCAAAUUUCAGAAUAGCGAAUGCAACUUGAUUGUAAACAGAACUUUGUACCACAAUGCGAACUAACUACGAGUUAACCUUUGAUUUAUUCGGAACUGGGAUACAAAGGGCUACUUCCCGAAUAAGAGUUAGGAUAAGAAGAAAUGAAGAACGAUAGAGGAGAAUGGCAAUUUUAUGAUGAUAAAUAUGCAUUUAAGAAGCUUAAGGAUGAUGAAAAAUGAUGAUGAAGAACGUAAGAAUAAAUAAUACACAGAGCAACAGUAGAAAAUGGCAGAUUUAUGAUGAUGAAUAUGUGUUUAGAAGACGCAUAGAUGAUAAAUAGUGACAUUUUAAGUAGAAAAAAUCGUCUGUGAAUUGUAUAAAACUCUAUACACUUCUAUUCCUUAUUAGAGGAAAGCACAUAGGAGGGAUUAUGUAGAGAGAGACCAGGAGAGAAUGGCAGAUUUAUAAUGAUAAAUACACGUUUAGGAUGACAAAUAAUGAUAUUUUAAGCAUUAAAAUCAUCUUAAAAUUACAUAAAAUACUACACAAACCGUCACUUUAUCACACAUUAAGAUUAUUAUCCGAGGUUCUAAUAUUAAGGAACUUGUAGGAUGAGCACGAAAGCGAAGUUUUUCAAUUAUUUAGACUGAAAAUUAAACCGAAUUUAUAAGUAAAUUUUGCAUUUUAAAACUAAAUUGGGCCCAUAGACAUAUAUUUUAUAUAAAUACACGUAAACGUUUAUAGAUAAAUUUUACAGGGAGUUUUUUUUAUGUGUUUAAAACUGAAGUAGAGAUUUUAAGCUAAGAAUCCUGCCUACAACACAAAGUCUAAAGCUAGAAGUACAAUAUGUAAUUCAUAGAAUAGCUACAAAAGAUUAAAAGGGGAGUGCAGAUUAUCUAGCGCUAUUAUGGGGUGAGUAGGCGAUGGUAAUCGGUGUUGAGGGUGAGUAGAAAGAGGCAGUGGAUAAAGUAAUCACGGGUCUGUCAAGUAGUCUAGGGAGAGGAACACAGUGUUUAGUUAUAAUGGAAGCAAUCGGAUGGAGGGGGAAACGAUGGCCAUUUGUUUGCACUGCUUCGUCUAGCACCCCACCGAGACUAACCGUUGUGAGAAAAUAUCCCUCGCCACCCAAUAUACCACGUGUUGACAUCGGUUUGAUUCAUUUCUUCUAUACUUCCGAGCCUCAUACUUCUUAUACUUUACACUGAUUUUACACAAGUAUCGGCCCUUCUAUCCUUCUACACAACAAUAAUAAGACGUAGAAAAAUACUUAAAAUUAUAGAAAAGUUUAAAAUUUUUAAUAAUUUUACACUUUUAUGUGACUUUUUUUUUCAUUUUAAAUCGAUUUUAGGGCUUGUAUCCAUAGUUAUUUUAAGUCUUAAAAUGGAUAUUUCUAUGAAGAAAAUUGAUGAUGAAUCAAUUAUUUAGAGCUCAAACUCUAUAAACUUGUAAAUAUAUAUAUAUAUAUAUAUAAACACGUUUAUUUUUUGCGUUUAGAAGUACUAAAAAGUUGUAGACGAACAAGUAAAUCGUCUAGAAUUUAACACAGCUUACAAGGAUGCGGAUGAGGAUCCUAGUGAUAACGGAGAGCAGAAGAAUGAUGAUAAUAAUUUAUGCACUAGAAAAGGUGUCGAUGUAAGUUAUUCACCUUUCUGUACAAUUUUACAACUGUUUAGAGCGUAUAAAAAUAUACUUUCUGUAGGUUUGUCAAGUGUCUAGUUGCACCCGUCUCUCAUCUUGACUGUGCUAUUGUAUCGUGCUAAGCCUCGGGACACUAAGAAGACAGUUUGAGACAUUUAAUGAUCCUUAUCAGGUAUCAGGUGAAGCGUAAGAAGAAAUCUGCUACUGGAUUCAAGACCACCGACCGAGAAUGAUGGAUCAUUGGCAGGAAAGAUAUGAUUCCGAAUUACGUUUCGCGAUUUUAGAAGAUAAAAAAGAUAAAAAAACAAUAGAAAUUUCUAUAGAAGGGGUGCAAAACUACGAAAAGAAACACUCUAUAAUUACAUUAUAUACAUAAAUACAGCGUUAAACAUAGGGGAA